UACGGGGGGGGCAAGCGUUGUUCGGAAUUACUGGGCGUAAAGGGCUCGUAGGCGGCCAACUAAGUCCGACGUGAAAUCCCAAGGCUUAACCUUGGAACUGCGUCGGAUACUGGAUGGCUUGAAUUCGGGAGAGGGAUGCAGAAUUCCAGGUGUAGCGAUGAAAUGCGUAGAUAUCUGGAGGAAUACCGGUGGCGAAGGCGGCAUCCUGGACCGACAUUGACGCUGAUGAGCGAAAGCUAGGGGAGCAAACGGG
This 253-nucleotide ribosomal RNA is filed under the name uncultured bacterium. RNAcentral describes it as "partial 16S ribosomal RNA". It matches the Rfam family "Bacterial small subunit ribosomal RNA", at positions 524 to 776 of the family's 1533-position model. The record is from RNAcentral.